UCUAAAAUGGCAGAUGGAUGUAUAGGAUUUAAGCUCCUACAAGGAAGGUUUCUUCUUUUAGAA
RNAcentral lists this transfer RNA (63 nucleotides) under Procambarus acutus. RNAcentral's name for it is "tRNA-Leu". RNAcentral also lists the same sequence under 3 other names. The record is from RNAcentral. Lineage: Eukaryota; Metazoa; Arthropoda; Malacostraca; Decapoda; Cambaridae.